RNAcentral lists this long non-coding RNA (2419 nucleotides) under Nicotiana benthamiana. RNAcentral's name for it is "long non-coding RNA (NBEN_LNC022721)". Lineage: Eukaryota; Viridiplantae; Streptophyta; Magnoliopsida; Solanales; Solanaceae. The record is from RNAcentral.
GGGUAUUAAGUUGUUUGGGGAUAAAAAAAAUGUGAAAUUCUAGAUUUGCCCAUUCCCGAAGCACGCUAUUCGCAUUUGCGAACAAAAAUUUGCAAUUCCCAACUUUGCCUUAGGAUGCCUGGAUUCGCAAUUCCCAAGUUUUCUUCGCAUUUGCAAAGUUGAUCUGUCCUGGUUGACUUCGCAUUUGCAAAGUAUUCUUCACAAUUGCGAGAACCAUCCAAUUCCUACUGAGUUUGCAAAUGCGAACUUUUCUUCGCAUUUGCCAAGCUGUCCAAUUCAUGCUAAGUUCGCAAAUGCGAACAUUUCCUCGUAUUUGCGAAGGCUACCAUUUUCUUCUUGACUUCGCAAUUCCCAGGUUUUGGUCGCAUUUGCGACCUCAGAGUGCACUUCCUAGAUUUCCCUUUCUUUUGGCUUCUUUUUUAUUCGUUUUCACUUGGUUUCUUCGACAUCAAUUCUAAAUCAUAUAGACCUUGUAAAGUAUAAGUAAUUGACAUUAAAUACAUGAUUUUAUAACAUUAAACAUAGCAAAAGUAUAGGUUUAAAGACAAGAUAAGUCGGUAAAAUACCAACUUAUCAGCCAUACCAUCACCUCCCCUGUUAGGACAAUCCCGUAUCAUAUAGCCAGGCUGUCUGCAAGAAUAACAUGCAUCAAAACCUCGAUGGCAUAGUCUAAAGUGUGCUUUGUUGCACUUAUCAAUACGUGGUAUUGUUGGUCUCAUCUAACUAGUGUCCUUGUGAUAUUGCGAGCCUGAUGCCCGCGAACUCCUACCUGGACCAGAAUAGGUAAAUUGGUCAUAUCAAGGCCUGUAAAAUUGUGGAGGAGCACUAUCUACAUGUGUCGCCAAACUCCUCAAAGACUGGGGCCUGACGUUGCCGCUGAAGUCAUCAAAAUACCUUGCAAAUCUCGCCCUCUUAUGCUGGCCCUUACAAUCCUCUAGGGUCUGGGCAUAAGCCUUAAUACAGGAAAUAUCUAUGCCCUCCACCAAGGAGGCUAUCAUGCACUCAUUUAUCAGAUGUGGUCCCAACUCGUUCACGAACAAAUACACCCUAUCACACAUCUUAGCCACCAUAUGGGGAGAAUACCUUGCUAAAGAAUCAAACUGCAUAUUUUAUUGUCACACACUCAUACUACCUUGUCUAAGGUUCAAGAACUUACCAACUCUAGCUCAUCGUAUCUCAACUGGCAAGUAGUGACGAAGAAAGGCCUCAGAAAAUUCCUUCCACAUAGCUGGAGGAGCGUUCGGACCCCUGGAUCUCUCCCAACUAUCAUACCAGAGAACUGCUAAAUCCCAUAGCUGUUAAGAAGCCAACUCUACUGCCUCUGUAUAACUAACAUGCAUAACCCGCAGUGUACAAUAAACCUGGUCAAUAAAAUUCUACGGGUUCUCUUUGGGUUUUGAUCCGGUAAACACUGGAGGGUCUAAAUUAAUACAAUCAUGAACUCUCGUACUAACUGGUUUAUCAGUAGCACCUGUAUUCUGCCUCUGAGACUGAGCAGCUACCAAGCUAGUCAAAAACUGCAAAGCACUCCACAUAUCCUGGUCUAUGGUGCUAGAUGAAGGAAUUAAAGGUGUUGGGCGCCUCAUAAUAUCCUCUGGAGGAGCGGAGUAGAUGAGGUAUGAGACGGCAUCUCACUUUGAGCCUCACUUUGGUCUGCUCUUGCUUGGGGCACCUGAUUGGUACCCUCUCCGACAGCUAUAUCAAGCCUUAUACUAAUUGUUUAAUUCCUACUCGAAGACAUCACUGAAAGAAUACAAGGUGAAUAUUAGAGACAAACACGUACGACUCAACUCCACGCACGAUCUAGAUUCUGGAAUAAGGUAACAACCCUAGAUUGCCAUGUAGCCUCCUGAUUAUAAAUGUGGCACGCUAAAAAUCCAUAAUCAAGACUCUACUAGACACGGCCCAUAGACAAUCCCUAGGAUAGACUUGCUGUAAUACCAAGUUCGUCACGAUCCAAACUGGAGGGCCAUGACUAGCACCCGACCAUACUUGCCUACUACCAACGUACAUUUUGUCUAACUUUUUUUAUUAUCUUUUAAGGUUGACGGGAUCAAUAUAAAUGGUAGACAUGGAUCAUGGACAACCAACAAUAAAAUAUGAUGGCAUGAACAUAUAUAACAUAGGAUAACUAGACAAUCAAGAAACUACAUAUAUAAGGUACGAGCUACCACGCUACCAUGAAAGACUAUACAACAAAAACCAGCCGACAAGUCAUACCAAACUAUACAUGAGUCGACACCUAUGUAUGAGGCUCUAAUGGAACAUAAGUGUUGUAACAUAGCCAGAACAGGGCCCAGACAUACACAUAAUGUCAAUAGCAAAAUGCAUACCAAGAUCAUUGUCGACGCCCCCUUUUCCUAAAACUCAAAGAUCGGAGAAAUCGGUUUUACGACAUUAUGGACAAAACAACUCUUAA